UGGAUUUGUUUGACGAUGAGAGAGAGCACGCUUGUCAGCAUCCAUGAAACAUUCAUGAGUGUUUACGGGCGUGCUCCCUCUCAUCGUCAUAAAAUCGAUCU
Molecule: microRNA precursor, 101 nt
Filed under: Rosa chinensis
Lineage: Eukaryota; Viridiplantae; Streptophyta; Magnoliopsida; Rosales; Rosaceae
Description: sRNA RchiOBHm_Chr6g0282271
Rfam family: MIR535 microRNA precursor family
Source: RNAcentral